This 1598-nucleotide ribosomal RNA is filed under the name human oral metagenome. Its description in RNAcentral is "bacterial LSU rRNA". It matches the Rfam family "Bacterial large subunit ribosomal RNA", at positions 1348 to 2925 of the family's 2925-position model. The record is from RNAcentral.
AGGGUUCCUGAGCAACGAUCGUCGUCUCAGGGUAAGUCGGGACCUAAGCCGAGGCGGAAAAGCGUAGGCGAUGGACAACAGGUUGAAAUUCCUGUACCGGUGUGAAUCGUUUGAUCGAUGGAGUGACACAGUAAGGUAGGUCAGCACGCGAUUGGAAGAGCGUGUUUAAGCAGGUAGGUUGAGCUAUAGGCAAAUCCGUAGCUCUAAAAGCUGAGAUGUGAUGACGAGUGACUAGCAAUAGUCGCGAAGUGAUUGAUCCUACACUGUCGAGAAAAGCUUCUAGGUAGAGACACAUCGCCCGUACCAAAACCGACACAGGUAGGCGGGGAGAGAAUCCUAAGGUGCGCGGGAAAACCCUCGUUAAGGAACUCGGCAAAAUGCCUCCGUAACUUCGGGAAAAGGAGGACUCAUGUAGUGUGAAGAGCAGAAGCGCUUGGAGCAUGAAUGAGUGGCACAAGAGAGGCGCAAGCGACUGUUUACCACAAACACAGGUGCCUGCUAAAGCGAAAGCUGAUGUAUAGGUGCUGACACCUGCCCGGUGCUGGAAGGUUAAGAGGAGGGGUUAGACUUCGGUCGAAGCUCUGAAUUGAAGCCCCAGUAAACGGCGGCCGUAACUAUAACGGUCCUAAGGUAGCGAAAUUCCUUGUCGGGUAAGUUCCGACCCGCACGAAAGGCGUAACGAUUUGGGCACUGUCUCAACGAGGGACCCGGUGAAAUUGAAAUACCUGUGAAGAUGCAGGUUACCCGCGACUGGACAGAAAGACCCCAUGGAGCUUUACUGCAACCUAAGAUUGAACUUAGUUAAUGAAUGUACAGGAUAGGUGGGAGACGUAGAACCUAGGACGCCAGUUUUAGGGGAGUCGCUGUUGGGAUACCACCCUUUCAUUAAUUGAUUUCUAACGGGCCGAGUAACGACCGGCCGGACAGUCUUAGGCGGGCAGUUUGACUGGGGCGGUCGCCUCCAAAAGAGUAACGGAGGCGCCCAAAGGUUCCCUCAGAGCGGACGGAAAUCGCUCGAAGAGUGUAAAGGCAGAAGGGAGCUUGACUGCGAGACGGACAGGUCGAGCAGGGACGAAAGUCGGGCUUAGUGAUCCGGUGGUGCCGAGUGGAAGGGCCAUCGCUCAACGGAUAAAAGCUACCCUGGGGAUAACAGGCUAAUCUCUCCCAAGAGUCCAUAUCGACGGGGAGGUUUGGCACCUCGAUGUCGGCUCAUCACAUCCUGGGGCUGAAGUAGGUCCCAAGGGUUCGGCUGUUCGCCGAUUAAAGUGGUACGUGAGCUGGGUUCAGAACGUCGUGAGACAGUUCGGUCCCUAUCCAUCGCGGGCGCAAGAAACUUGAAGGGGGCUGCUCCUAGUACGAGAGGACCGGAGUGGACGAACCGCUGGUGUACCAAUUAUCCUGCCAAGGGUACAGUUGGGUAGCUACGUUCGGGACGGAUAAACGCUGAAAGCAUCUAAGCGUGAAACCAGCCUUGAGAUGAGGUUUCUCAUAGCAUAAGCUAGUAAGAUCCCAUGUAGACGACAUGGUAGAUAGGCCAGGUGUGGAAGAGCCGUGAGGUUUGGAGCUGACUGGUACUAAUCGAUCGAGGGCUUUACUUA